GCUUUUCAUGUUGAAAAAUGCCUAAAAGAAGCUUAGAAUUGAAAUCAGAAGGAAAAAGAACCAAGAAAACAAAUUCUGGAAAAAUCUGGAAAUUAAUGGUUAAGUAAUUCUUGUUUUCCAGAUUUGGCUCGCCGGAGAAGAUGAAGGUGUGGCGGCGGCUGCGGCAGAGUUCCUCGUCGGAGAUGAACAGAUCACGAAGGCUGAUGCGUAUUUCUUCCAUGGAAACAACGGUGGUGGAAUUAUCGCAAUCGGAGGUCAGACGAUGGAGAAAAACACGUUUUAAGGUCGUGAUUCUCGUCAGAAAACUAAUGCUCGUGGUGGCUCUCAUGAACACGAUGAAAAGGUUGAAGAUUGAGCCCAGAAACCGUCCAAACGACAAAAAAUACUGAAAUCUGUUGCUAUCACACCCAUGUUGAGACAAAGUAGAAGAAAAAGCAAGCCUUUGUCAAGAAGUUCCAAUUACCAGCGUUUCAAGGAAUUACUGGAAGACAUGGUUGAACAAACUAUAAGAAGUAAUAUUCAACGUUUAUUUUGUACGAUAUCAAUUUUCGGUGUUUAUAAUUAAACUUCUCUUUCUGUUGAUGGUUCGAAACCCAUAUUUUUUAUCUCCAUAAAAAUCCUUUUUUUUUUCUCUUUCUCAAAUCAGGUUAAUGAAUUUGGAUUUUUUGGAAGAUAAAUCUCAGAUCUGGUUCAACUUUGGUUCAAUAAACCUCAGAUCCAGUUAAUGAAAAGCUUAGAGGUUGAGAUUCUAGAUUGAGGAAUGUGAAUUAUGAACUGUGAUUGUGAAAUUAGUUUAAAUUCUGGAAUUUUUUUGAUGAAGAUUGGGGAG
RNAcentral lists this long non-coding RNA (829 nucleotides) under Lotus japonicus. Its description in RNAcentral is "long non-coding RNA (LJAP_LNC000103)". The record is from RNAcentral. Lineage: Eukaryota; Viridiplantae; Streptophyta; Magnoliopsida; Fabales; Fabaceae.